Molecule: ribosomal RNA, 468 nt
Filed under: uncultured bacterium
Lineage: Bacteria
Description: partial 16S ribosomal RNA
Rfam family: Bacterial small subunit ribosomal RNA
Source: RNAcentral
GACGAACGCUGGCGGCGUGCUUAACACAUGCAAGUCGAACGGAAAGGCCCUGCUUUUGUGGGGUGCUCGAGUGGCGAACGGGUGAGUAACACGUGAGUAACCUGCCCUUGACUUUGGGAUAACUUCAGGAGAAUGGGGCUAAUACCGGAUAGGAGCUCCUGCUGCAUGGUGGGGGUUGGAAAGUUUCGGCGGGUGGGGAUGGACGCGCGGCUUAUCAGCUUGUUGGUGGGGUAGUGGCUUACCAAGGCUUUGACGGGUAGCCGGCCUGAGAGGGUGACCGGCCACAUUGGGACUGAGAUACGGCCCAGACUCCUACGGGAGGCAGCAGUGGGGAAUAUUGCACAAUGGGCGGAAGCCUGAUGCAGCAACGCCGCGUGCGGGAUGACGGCCUUCGGGUUGUAAACCGCUUUCGCCUGUGACGAAGCGUGAGUGACGGUAAUGGGUAAAGAAGCACCGGCUAACUACGUG